GGCCUCUUGUUUAUUUUGGAGGUCAGGCCUGCCCAGUGAUAAUUUUAACGGCCGCGGUAUUCUGACCGUGCAAAGGUAGCAUAAUCAUUAGUCUUUUAAUAGAAGGCUGGAAUGAAAGGUUUAACGAAACAUUAACUGUCUCAUUUUUAUUUUUUGAACUUAAUUUUUGAGUUAGAAAGCUUAAAUUUUUUUGUAGGACGAGAAGACCCUAUAGAGCUUGACAUUUAAUUUUUAAUGUUAUUUAGUUUAUUUAUUUAUAUUAUUUUGUGGAUGUUUGGUUGGGGUGACAGAAAAUAUAUAAUUAACUUUUUUGUUUUAUACACAUAUAUUUAUGGGUUUGUGAUCCUUUAUUAUUGAUUGUUAGAUAAAGUUACCUUAGGGAUAACAGCGUAAUCUUCUUUUGGAGUUCUUAUUUACAAGAAGGGUUGCGACCUCGAUGUUGGAUUAAGAUAAUGAUUUGGUGCAGUAGCUAAAUUAAUAGGUCUGUUCGACCUUUAAACUCUUACAUGAUCUGAGUUCAGACCGG
This 526-nucleotide ribosomal RNA is filed under the name Palaiargia sp. BOLD:ACG0695. RNAcentral describes it as "partial 16S ribosomal RNA". It matches the Rfam family "Archaeal large subunit ribosomal RNA", at positions 1923 to 2688 of the family's 2987-position model. Lineage: Eukaryota; Metazoa; Arthropoda; Insecta; Odonata; Platycnemididae. The record is from RNAcentral.